Molecule: long non-coding RNA, 274 nt
Filed under: Vitis vinifera (wine grape)
Lineage: Eukaryota; Viridiplantae; Streptophyta; Magnoliopsida; Vitales; Vitaceae
Description: long non-coding RNA (VVIN_LNC007423)
Source: RNAcentral
AACGGCUGAACACCGGUUUAAGAGCCAAACGGUUGGAUGAGUCCAACCGGAGAGGCGACCGGUCGACGGGUUUUUAAAACAUUGCUAUACCAAAGCAAAAAACCGAAGCCAUGGCUAUUUCUACUUUUUCCUCCCGGGAACAAGGGAAGGGGUCGGGGUCGUUGAAAGGAUGAAUAAGUGGACCACCACCAAUGGUUCCAUGAUGGCCUUUUCUCUUAUGUUGUUCCCGUUUGAGCACCAAACAUCAUAAUGAAAACAUUACUUCUUAGCUGCA